AGGGGACGCCGAGUGCGAGGGCAUAUAGUCCUCGCUUUUCUGGGCUAUAGGGAGGUCCAAGAAUAAUGGCUGGGCAAGACCGGUGCCAGCCGUCGCGGUAAUACCGGCGGCCCGAGUGAUGNCCGAUUUUAUUGGNCCUAAAGCGUCCGUAGCCGGCCAGACAGGUCCGUCGGGAAAUCCACGCGNUUAAUGCGUGUAGGUCCGGCGGAAACCACCUGGCUUGGGGCCGGAAGACCCAGGGGGUACGUCCGGGGUAGGAGUGAAAUCCUGUAAUACCGGACGGACCGCCGGUGGCGAAAGCGCCCUGGGAGGACGGACCUGUCGGUGAGGGACGAAAGCCAAGGUCACGAACCGGAUUAGAUACCCGGGUAGUCUUGGCAGUAAACGAUGUCCGCUCGGUGUGGCGCAGGCUACGAGCCUACGCUGUUCCACAGCGAAGGCGCUAAGCGGACCGCCUGGGAAGUACGUCUGCAAGGAUGAAACUUAAAGGAAUUGGCGGG
RNAcentral lists this ribosomal RNA (500 nucleotides) under uncultured Halorhabdus sp. RNAcentral describes it as "bacterial SSU rRNA". It matches the Rfam family "Archaeal small subunit ribosomal RNA", at positions 373 to 872 of the family's 1478-position model. The record is from RNAcentral. Lineage: Archaea; Methanobacteriati; Methanobacteriota; Halobacteria; Halobacteriales; Haloarculaceae.